Molecule: long non-coding RNA, 802 nt
Organism: Lycium ferocissimum
Lineage: Eukaryota; Viridiplantae; Streptophyta; Magnoliopsida; Solanales; Solanaceae
Exons: 5
Source: RefSeq, a predicted model, not a curated record
UGGUAUAGUCAUUAGAUUUAUCAAUUGCUUGAAUGAUGCUUACCGUUUUGCUUUCUUGCACCGUACUGAAUAUUGUGGCUAUAGUAUAUCAUUGUAUUGUACUGGCACGCGGGAAGGAGAAGGCGAAGGCGCGGCAAAAAAAUCGGCUUUUCUAUCGUGGCUUCACUGCACGAUUAGCAAUUGGGUUUCAUGAUAUUUGUUGGAGUAGAGGAGUGAGAUGAGCAACAACAUUCUGUUAGAUUUCGGCCCUCACUUAGUGUAUGGCAUGAAGGAAAAUAAGUUACGCGAAACACUUGGAUACUUUGUUUAUGACCACAUAUUACCGGUAGAGAACAAGAGAUGGCGGCUCUGAAAAAUUUGAGCAAGAUAGAAGGUGGAAGCAGUUGAAUGAUGCAAAUAGCUAACCUUUGCUCUCUUUGGGUGGAUUUCGUCGGCUUUUGAAAGUGGAAUAUGCUCUAGAUUAAGGGACAAUAUUGAGGCGUAAGAUACAGAAGAUAUGAAAGCUCCAAGCACAUAAAACAAGGCCUUUGCGGUGUACUUUCGGUGAGUUAAUUAAGUAGAUUUCUUGAAUGAUAAAAUGUCCCAGUAUUGCUAGAAAGGGUGUGAUUCCUAUAUACUACUCUCUGCUAUGUGUCACUAAAUUCAUAAUUUUCCUUAAGAUCUACAAGUGAUAUAUGUUUCUUGUCAAAGUAAAUUAUUCAGUAUUACAAAUUUGAGCAGUCUUUCUUUGCUGCUUUAAUUUUUUGAGUGUUGAUUUGUUCAUGGGUGUCUGCAUGCGAAUUCUACUUCUCCUUUUUCCUCU